This 85-nucleotide transfer RNA is filed under the name uncultured Conexibacteraceae bacterium. RNAcentral's name for it is "tRNA-Leu". It matches the Rfam family "tRNA". From Rfam's summary of the family: Transfer RNA (tRNA) molecules are approximately 80 nucleotides in length. Their secondary structure includes four short double-helical elements and three loops (D, anti-codon, and T loops). Further hydrogen bonds mediate the characteristic L-shaped molecular structure. tRNAs have two regions of fundamental functional importance: the anti-codon, which is responsible for specific mRNA codon recognition, and the 3' end, to which the tRNAs corresponding amino acid is attached (by aminoacyl-tRNA synthetases). tRNAs cope with the degeneracy of the genetic code in two manners: having more than one tRNA (with a specific anti-codon) for a particular amino acid; and 'wobble' base-pairing, i.e. permitting non-standard base-pairing at the 3rd anti-codon position. Lineage: Bacteria; Bacillati; Actinomycetota; Thermoleophilia; Solirubrobacterales; Conexibacteraceae. The record is from RNAcentral.
GCCCGGGUGGCGGAACUGGUAGACGCGGCCGGCUUAAACCCGGCUGUCCGCAAGGACGUGGGGGUUCAAGACCCUCCCCGGGCAC